GAUGUACUCCCUCUGUCCGGAAAUACUCGUCGGAGAAAUGGAUAAAAAUGGAUGCAUCUAGAACUAAAAUAUGUCUGGACACAUUCAUUUCUCCGACGAGUAUUUCCGGACGGAGGGAGUAGUAA
Non-coding RNA from Triticum aestivum (bread wheat), 125 nucleotides. The record is from Rfam. NCBI's taxonomy places the organism in Eukaryota, Viridiplantae, Streptophyta, Magnoliopsida, Poales, Poaceae.